ACCGCGGAUGACCCCGGUGCCCGGUACAAAGUGGUUGCUGUCCAUCUAUGCCAGGGUGGUGGCUUCGAGGCUAGAUGAGACCAAGGCCUGGAUCACCUCCAUCUUUGGCUCAAUCCUGAAGAUGGACUCAACAAAGAAGGUGAGCGAUAUCGUCAUCCUCUCCCUCCUUCCUUCCUUCCUUCCUUCCAGCUUACCGUCACUCUCCCUUUCAUCGUUCAGGUGAUCAAGAAACUAGCUGGUGCCGCGGCAGGAACGGCAGCCUGGGUGACCAACGUGGGGAACGAGCACGGCCAGAUUUUGAUCAGCGUCCUCACUGCAGCCGAGGGCGCUGGCCUGCACCCCAUGGCCACCGGGCUGAUGCGGCGAUACCGUGAUGCCAGUGUGUCCCCGCCUCUGGUCCUGUAUGUGGACCGAGACUGCUGUUCCCACAGGGGACCCUGCAAGGUGUCCCUCUUAUUCAACCAGUGGGAUCAUCUGGUGGUGCAGCUCGACGUGUGGCACCUGAUGCGACGCUUUGCAGCGGGUGUCACCACGGAGAGCCACCCACUGUACAGCCUCUUCAUGGCGCGUCUCUCGUUCUGCAUCUUUGAGUGGGACCAGGGAGACGUUGCCAGGCUGCGACAGGCCAAGGCUGGCGAGGCGGGGAACGAUCCCCGAGGCUCCGGCUACGGAAGGAUCCCACUAAAGGAGCUGGCCCGCCACUGCCGCCGCCGCACACGUGGGGCGGAGGAGACGGGCCGGCUCAUCGACGAGAUGCUGGAGGCCUUCGGGGACGCCACUGACACCAUGGGUAUCCCGCUUUUGGACCGCGCUAAGAUACAGGAAAUAUGGAAAACUCAGAGGCGCCACCUCCACUGCAUCCAGGACCCACCCGGCGUGCACCUGUACAUGCAGACCGGGCAGCUGGUCAAAGGGGGGAUCACGCUGCCGGUGUUCAGGUGUGGCCGUGGUUCAACUUCGUUGGAGUCGUUCCACCUGCAUCUGGACCGCUUCAUACCUGGCACUUCAGCCAGCGCGGCCCACUUUCAGGCCUAUCUGCUGGAAGGCCUGGCGCGGUGGAACGAGGACCGUGCGGCACAAGCAGUGGAGGAAGCAGACCGUGAUAUCGUCUGCUACAGUGGCCAACUCCAGCACUCCGUCAACGAGCUGAGCGACAUUGUAUAUCGCAUGAAGCUGGUUGACGAUUACACCCGGCCUGCAAAGUACACUGGUGAGCUCAUAGGUAUCCAGUACCUAUUUUCGCAGACCGGUCGAGUGCUGGAGGAAGUGAUGGGCAGGGAUCCCGACGCUCCGGAUGGGACUGAUACAGACGACGACGAUGACAGUGUCGACGAGGGCUUCCAAGAGGACGAGGGGCCGGUGCAGGAACCUCUGGACAACACCGUCUUCGGCCUUGAGGAGGACUUUGCCCGACAACCGUUGUCGUCUGACAAGUCCCAGUCGCGCCCUGCCAUCGGCGCCUCAAAGUCUGGGCCAGCCGACCAGGACACCUCCCCUGGAGAUGAGGCCACUCAAAGCGUGUCCCACGAGCUGGUAAGUCUCUCCCGACGAGUUGUGCUAUACCUGUGGAAUAUCUGAGGAGUGCUCCCCUUUCUCACUUUCGCUCUCUUCCCCCAACAGAAUAGCCUUGGACAUGACACUGGCCCAGGUUACCAGCACGUGGUCAACCUGGCCUCCAGUCUCGUGAAGCUGCGUCACCAUCCCUACGUGACACAGCAGCAAGUGGCGGAGAUCGUCACCCUCUGGGAACGAUUGCCGGAGGGCGACAAGGCCCCAGUUCGCUUUCCGCCACGCCACCAGGAAAGACUGGUGCAGGGGAGGUUCCGACGCAAGCACUCGCAGACCAGUGUCACACCGGGAGUGGAGAGCUUGCAACGGUGUAUGGUCGGCCAAGGCGGCCAAGCUGCACAGAUGCCAAACAUCAGCUGCCUUGUGGAGGCCGUUUGUGUACAGCUGUCCAGGAUUCACCCCGAAGGAACCACCAUCAGCGGCGUGAGGGUGAACCGCUGGGCAGCUGUGAUGCGGGAUUACAUCUGCAUCCAGGAAAAUAUCCUGACAAAUCCGGUACUCGUGGCCUAGACACGUAUCCAGUUAUUCCCCCUCAA
Molecule: RNA transcript, 2105 nt
Organism: Erpetoichthys calabaricus (reedfish)
Lineage: Eukaryota; Metazoa; Chordata; Cladistia; Polypteriformes; Polypteridae
Exons: 4
Source: RefSeq, a predicted model, not a curated record